CACCUCAGAUUAUACGUAUCAUGACUUAUCUUAUACUCGUGCUCAGCUUAUAAGUGAGAUCCUGGUAAGCGUAAUCAAGCAAACCAAAUAUGGCCGCCUCGCUCGUCAAAAAAAUCGCAAAAUUUUUGCCCAUUUAAUGUCUAGCCAUUCAAUUUGGCCCAAUAGUUUGUUCUACUCCUUGUUUCCUCUCAACUCAAUCCAACUUAAGCACACAUCCAUUCCAUCGUUCUUUCCUGCCCCCAUCCCGUUGUUCCUUCGUCUUGGAGGCCGUUGCUUCAACCUGAAGGUGGCAUGGCCGUGAGAUAGGAUUUUUUAAAUUUUGACACUUUUUAAAAUAACUUUUGAAUUUGACAUUUUUUUUUGAAACUAACCCUUUUGGACAUGCCAGGAGCCACGGUGCAACAUUUCAACAUUGUCGCGCCAUGGAUGCCGCCGCGCGCGGUAGGGGCGAACACGUGGCAGCCUGAUGCCUGGUGGCGGCUGAUGUGGCAUGGCGCUGCCACGCCUUAGAUCUAGGUGCAGCACUACCGCUCCAUGGCCCAUGCUGCGGCAAGCGGCCUUCUCCGUUGUGGGGCUUAUCCUCGGGAGCUCUCCCCGUUGUGCUAAGAUGGAUUGUUCUGUCCGAUUUUAUUUUACGGAGGAAGUUAAGGAAAGUAGAUGGUAUGUUUGAGGAUAUGGAAGAAAAAUAGGAAUGGUUUGAUGGA
Molecule: long non-coding RNA, 704 nt
Organism: Sorghum bicolor (sorghum)
Lineage: Eukaryota; Viridiplantae; Streptophyta; Magnoliopsida; Poales; Poaceae
Exons: 2
Source: RefSeq, a predicted model, not a curated record